GAUGAACGCUGGCGGCGUGCCUAAUACAUGCAAGUCGAGCGAACGGACGAGAAGCUUGCUUCUCUGAUGUUAGCGGCGGACGGGUGAGUAACACGUGGAUAACCUACCUAUAAGACUGGGAUAACUUCGGGAAACCGGAGCUAAUACCGGAUAAUAUUUUUAACCGCAUGGUUCAAGAGUGAAAGACGGUCUUGCUGUCACUUAUAGAUGGAUCCGCGCUGCAUUAGCUAGUUGGUAAGGUAACGGCUUACCAAGGCAACGAUGCAUAGCCGACCUGAGAGGGUGAUCGGCCACACUGGAACUGAGACACGGUCCAGACUCCUACGGGAGGCAGCAGUAGGGAAUCUUCCGCAAUGGGCGAAAGCCUGACGGAGCAACGCCGCGUGAGUGAUGAAGGUCUUCGGAUCGUAAAACUCUGUUAUUAGGGAAGAACAUAUGUGUAAGUAACUGUGCACAUCUUGACGGUACCUAAUCAGAAAGCCACGGCUAACUACGUG
This 497-nucleotide ribosomal RNA is filed under the name uncultured bacterium. RNAcentral describes it as "partial 16S ribosomal RNA". It matches the Rfam family "Bacterial small subunit ribosomal RNA", at positions 28 to 507 of the family's 1533-position model. The record is from RNAcentral.